GUGCACAUUUCAUUGUCUUUUUUCUUUCGUCAAGAGAAAAGAUAUUUCUGAUGUGCUGAACAAACCUUUGGAGGUAAAUUAGCAGCAUGACUCAUUCGGCCAUUGCUGUCAGUCACCUUCAGACAAGU
Small nucleolar RNA from Equus asinus (donkey), 128 nucleotides. Lineage: Eukaryota; Metazoa; Chordata; Mammalia; Perissodactyla; Equidae. The record is from Ensembl.